Molecule: unclassified non-coding RNA, 540 nt
Filed under: Hevea brasiliensis (rubber tree)
Lineage: Eukaryota; Viridiplantae; Streptophyta; Magnoliopsida; Malpighiales; Euphorbiaceae
Source: RNAcentral
UUUGGAAAUCCUUUUGUCAAAUGGCAAGUAUUGUUAUGCAAUGCUAAUUUUCUUAAAGAAUGACUUCCUUUUGGAAAACUUAUGGAGAUUUGGUAUGAGGGCAAGGUUUGGUGCAACAGUUAGUUUGCGUCUUUGUGACUCAAAGGUUAUCAGUUUGAAUGAUGAAAACAGCCUUUCUGCCAAAAAGCAGGGGAAGGCUAUGUCUAAUGCUAGGCCUUCUUUUGAACCACAUAGGGUGGGGAGUCUUGUACACCCCAGACACCUGUUAUGCAGAUUUGGUACAUAAAAACAUAAAUUCAAAAUUUCUUCUUUUGUUCAAUGGUAGAGUUGAUGUUUUGUGUGGGAAUAGUUUGUUAGUUUGUUCAUUCUCUAUGCUGCAUCUUGUAUAUUUUUUUGACACAUUAUUUACGAAACCCUGCCCCUACAAAUUUCUUUUAACAGUGAGAAUGUCUUCCUCUAACACUUGCUAGAUUAGAUGUGAGUGAUUUAAAAAUUAAAAUUCUAAAAAUUAGCUUUUUAGUGGCAAAACCAAAAAUCCUC